Molecule: ribosomal RNA, 497 nt
Filed under: uncultured bacterium
Lineage: Bacteria
Description: partial 16S ribosomal RNA
Rfam family: Bacterial small subunit ribosomal RNA
Source: RNAcentral
GAUGAACGCUGGCGGCGUGCCUAAUACAUGCAAGUCGAGCGAACAGACGAGGAGCUUGCUCCUCUGACGUUAGCGGCGGACGGGUGAGUAACACGUGGAUAACCUACCUAUAAGACUGGGAUAACUUCGGGAAACCGGAGCUAAUACCGGAUAAUAUAUUGAACCGCAUGGUUCAAUAGUGAAAGACGGUUUUGCUGUCACUUAUAGAUGGAUCCGCGCCGCAUUAGCUAGUUGGUAAGGUAAAGGCUUACCAAGGCGACGAUGCGUAGCCGACCUGAGAGGGGGCUCGGCCACACUGGAACUGAGACACGGUCCAGGCUCCUACGGGAGGCAGCAGUAGGGAAUCUUCCGCGAUGGGCGAAAGCCUGACGGAGCAACGCCGCGUGAGUGAUGAAGGUCUUCGGAUCGUAAAACUCUGUUAUUAGGGAAGAACAAAUGUGUAAGUAACUAUGCACGUCUUGACGGUACCUAAUCAGAAAGCCCCGGCUAACUACGUG